Molecule: long non-coding RNA, 417 nt
Filed under: Marmota monax (woodchuck)
Lineage: Eukaryota; Metazoa; Chordata; Mammalia; Rodentia; Sciuridae
Source: RNAcentral
CUUGGUUGUCAGCUUGAUUACAUUGAGAAAUUCCUAGAAAAUUGGUGCCAAGAAGUGAGGUCAUUGCUGUGACUGUACUAAUGAUAUAGUUCAGAAGCUUUCAAAAUUGGUUUGCAGUCGGAAUUUGGAAAAGUUUGUAGAAGCAGACUACCUAAAGCUUAGAAUGUUGUAAGCAGAUCUUAAUGGGUGAUUCUGGUGAGGGCUUAGAAGAUCAGAAUGCUGAUAGAUAGAAAUGUGAAUACUAAAGGUUAAGCUCAGGUUUUAGAUGGAAAUAAGCAAUAUUGGGACUAAAGGCCACCCACUCACUUUACACUGUGGCAAGGGAUUUGAAUGCAUUUUGUCCAUGCCUGAGGCUUUGUGAAAGGCUAAGUUUAAAGGUAACCAACUGACUAACAUGACAGUAAAUUUUAAGGCAGC